UUUGCAUAUCAAUAAGCGGAGGGAAAAGAAACCAACAGGGAUUGCCCCAGUAACGGCGAGUGAAGCGGCACCAGCUCAAAUUUGAAAUCUGGCCUCCGGGUCCGAGUUGUAAUUUGUAGAGGAUGCUUUUGGCGAGGUGCCUUCCGAGUUCCCUGGAACGGGACCCCAUAGAGGGUGAGAGCCCCGUCUGGUCGGACACCGAGCCUCUGUAAAGCUCCUUCGACGAGUCGAGUAGUUUGGGAAUGCUGCUCAAAAUGGGAGGUAUAUGUCUUCUAAAGCUAAAUAUUGGCCAGAGACCGAUAGCGCACAAGUAGAGUGAUCGAAAGAUGAAAAGCACUUUGAAAAGAGGGUUAAAAAGUACGUGAAAUUGUUGAAAGGGAAGCGCCUAUGACCAGACUUGGGCCCGGUGAAUCAUCCAGCGUUCUCGCUGGUGCACUUUGCCGGGCACAGGCCAGCAUCAGUUUGGCGCGGGGGAAAAAGGUUUUGGGAAUGGGCUCCUUGGGAGUGUUAUAGCCCAUUGCGUAAUCCCCUGCGCCGUGUCCCUACGCGCUCGCAAGGAUGCGGCGAGUUUCCACGUGGGCGU
RNAcentral lists this ribosomal RNA (583 nucleotides) under Hypocreales sp. Kyoto-01. RNAcentral's name for it is "LSU rRNA". It matches the Rfam family "Eukaryotic large subunit ribosomal RNA", at positions 35 to 647 of the family's 3401-position model. The record is from RNAcentral. Lineage: Eukaryota; Fungi; Ascomycota; Sordariomycetes; Hypocreales.